UUCACAACGAGCAAAAGGUUAUUCUCUACAAUGUUCUAGGACGAAAAGUCAUUUGCAAAUACUUUGGAAAACAAAUUGCAUAUUAUCUGCCUCGAAAAUAUUCAUUGACUUUAGUGUGGGCACGCAAUAUGUCCCUCACGGGAAUGAUUUCGAGGAUUCUACUUCAAUUGAUACGAUUACCACUUUUGGCAGCGUACGUCCCGCG
Molecule: long non-coding RNA, 205 nt
Filed under: Brassica napus (rape)
Lineage: Eukaryota; Viridiplantae; Streptophyta; Magnoliopsida; Brassicales; Brassicaceae
Description: long non-coding RNA (BNAP_LNC021942)
Source: RNAcentral